This 25-nucleotide non-coding RNA is filed under the name Mus musculus (house mouse). The record is from RNAcentral. Lineage: Eukaryota; Metazoa; Chordata; Mammalia; Rodentia; Muridae.
UGAGCUCUGUAGUGCUUCUAGCUGA